GGCAAGAUGGCCGAGCGGUCUAAGGCGCUGUGUUCAGGAAAACUCUCGAGUUCUCUAGAGUAUCGCAGUCCGAAAGGGCGUGGGUUCGAAUCCCACUCUUGUCA
Non-coding RNA from Apodospora peruviana, 104 nucleotides. Lineage: Eukaryota; Fungi; Ascomycota; Sordariomycetes; Sordariales; Lasiosphaeriaceae. The record is from the annotation of a GenBank genome assembly.